UACGGAGGAUCCGAGCGUUAUCCGGAUUUAUUGGGUUUAAAGGGUGCGCAGGCGGGAGAUUAAGUCGGCGGUGAAAUUUUGGAGCUCAACUGUAAAAGUGCCUUCGAAACUGGUUUCCUUGAGUGUGGAUGAAGUAGGCGGAAUUUGUGGUGUAGCGGUGAAAUGCAUAGAUAUCACGAGGAACUCCGAUUGCGCAGGCAGCUUACUAAACCAUAACUGACGCUCAGGCACGAAGGCGUGGGGAUCAAACAGGAUUAGAUACCCGCGUAGUCCCU
RNAcentral lists this ribosomal RNA (275 nucleotides) under uncultured prokaryote. RNAcentral describes it as "partial 16S ribosomal RNA". It matches the Rfam family "Bacterial small subunit ribosomal RNA", at positions 524 to 798 of the family's 1533-position model. The record is from RNAcentral.